AUUGAACGCUGGCGGCAGGCCUAACACAUGCAAGUCGAACGAGUGGCGGACGGGUGAGUAAUGUCUGGGAAACUGCCUGAUGGAGGGGGAUAACUACUGGAAACGGUAGCUAAUACCGCAUACCAUCGGAUGUGCCCAGAUGGGAUUAGCUAGUAGGUGGGGUAAAGGCUCACCAAGGCGACGAUCCCUAGCUGGUCUGAGAGGAUGACCGGCCACACUGGAACUGAGACACGGUCCAGACUCCUACGGGAGGCAGCAGUGGGGAAUAUUGCGCAAUGGGCGCAAGCCUUAUGCAGCCAUGCCGCGUGUAUGAAGAAGGCCUUCGGGUUGUAAAGUUCUUUCGGCGGGGAGGCGUUAUCCGCAGAGAAAGCACCGGCUAACUCCGUGCCAGCAGCCGCGGUAAUAC
RNAcentral lists this ribosomal RNA (406 nucleotides) under uncultured bacterium. RNAcentral's name for it is "partial 16S ribosomal RNA". It matches the Rfam family "Bacterial small subunit ribosomal RNA", at positions 30 to 526 of the family's 1533-position model. The record is from RNAcentral.